RNAcentral lists this long non-coding RNA (2419 nucleotides) under Sorghum bicolor (sorghum). RNAcentral's name for it is "long non-coding RNA (SBIC_LNC016620)". Lineage: Eukaryota; Viridiplantae; Streptophyta; Magnoliopsida; Poales; Poaceae. The record is from RNAcentral.
CCUAUAGCGUGAUACGGAGUCUGAUUCAAAGAUGUAUUGAGUCAUAAAAGUUAGAAUAACUCGCGUUUAGCGAUGAUAUGUUCCGUUACAAAGUUGCUAGUAAACCUGUAAAUAUGAAAUGAUGCAUAUUGAAAUUUUAUAAAUAGUACUCCCUCAUUUCAAAUUUUGGUUAAACUGAGAUGCUUUGACUAAAUGUCUUAUAAAAAUUUGAGAUGGAGGGAGUAAUAGCUUAGCAGUUUUGCCAAGGCCUUGUUUACUUCCACUCAAAACUUAAACUUUUUUAAGAUUUCUAGUCACAUCGAAUCUUUAGACGCACGCAUGGAGUAUUAAAUAUAGACAAAAAUAAAAAAUAAUUACACAGUUUGGUCGAAAUUUACGAGACGAAUCUUUUGAGCCUAGUUAGUCCAUAAUUGGCCAAUAAUUACCAUAAAUAAACGAAAGUGCUACAGUUACUUGUAAUCUUCAAUGAGUGAUGUCUUGCUCAUCGUUUCCAUAUUUCGAUUCUGUCAACGCUCCAACAACCAACCAUACCAAUUCUAUUCUCAAAAUCGAGUAGCCGGACAAACACACACAUAUAUGUACCUAAUAUUAAGGAGCUAAAAUUUCUUCCUCUUUUUUUCUGCUUCUCAUAUUUUUAUUGUCCACCUUUUACUGUUUUUUCCCGGCUGCUCUGUGUCCGUGAUUUUCAGCCUCUUGUUUUCUGCUUGGCUCUCCUUCGGACUCUGCUUGCAGCUUGGCCUUUUAGUCUGGUAUUUUGUCUUGUUUCCGUUGUUUUUUAGUUCUGUGUUUUUCUUCUUCUUUUUGUUGUUUCUCCAUUCCGACUCCGUCUUUUAGUAGGGUAUUUUGUCUUCUUUACGUUGUUUUUUAGUUUUUUUUUUCUUUUCGUUGUUUCUCCAUUCCGGCACCACUCAGUUUCCUAUCUGGUGUUUUCUUUUUCUUAUUCCGCUUUUCCUUCUUGAACUCAAUUCUGUUUUUUUUAUUUCUCAUAAAUGUAAAUAACAAAUAAUAAAUACAAUAGUAUUGUCUUCUGAAUCAUUGAUCCUUCCAUAAAAAUAUAUUAUAGUUUGAAUUAAAAACAAAACUCAUUUUUUAUUAAAAUAUAGAUCAACUAGUGGUUCAACAAAUCAAACUAUGAAUUAAAAUCUUAAACAGUUUGUUGUCUAAUCUAGUCUAAAUAAAUGUUGCAAACCCCUAGAAGGAUUACAAUGUGAAAAUUAGAGAUGUUUUCUGUAGUCAUCAUCGACGAGUAGAAUUAGAAUUAAAUUAUGGGUCAUCAAAAAAGUGAUGAAGCUUAAUAUUCCAUUGUGGUAACACAUGGAUAGUAUGAAAAUUAAAUUUAAGAUAUAUUUCUGUCUAAAUACUUAGUGCUUUGAGAGGACUACAAUGUGGAAAAUCUAGAGAUGUCUCUCCCGACAUAAUCAUCAGUGGAUAGACCAAUUCGUAAUAAGUUGGAAACCAACUCCUUGCUAUAUUUAAUCAUAUUAUAAUUACAUAUAUCUAAGGGUCCUAAAAGAGUCACGAAACUCAAUAUUUUAGUUGAGGCAACACAUGGAUAGUAUGAAAAUUAAAGUUAUGAUAUAUUUAUAUCUAAAUAUUUCAGCAUUUUGCAAUGGAAAAGAAAACAUCUAUGAAGGUUGUUAUUUAAUUCAAUAUAAGUUUAAUAGGAUGUUGUUAUAUUUUUACCAACAUCAAUAUCAUGAUCAUCAUAAAAUAAAUAAAUUUUGAUUUAACAUUUUUAUAAAAAAAAUAUAAAAUAAAUAAAUUGUUACAACACACGGGCAUGUUUUGCAUGCAUAAUAUUUAAAAGCUAAGGGAUUCUUUUAUCCUUUUCUUUUUAGUUUUCAUACUGAUCUCAAACUGUCUAGGUUUAAAAAAAACAAACGGCUUUGAAAAUUUGAGGGAGGAUAAAAAAAAUCGGUUUUUGUAAAUGAAAGAAGGUAAAUUAGGCCUUGUUUAGUUCACAAAAGUUUUGGGUUUUGGCUACUGUAGCACUUUCGUUUUUAUUUGACAAACAUUAUCCAAUCACGGAGUAACUAGGCUCAAAAGAUUCAUCUCAUAAAUUACAGGUAAACUGUACAAUUAGUUUUUAUUUUUGUUUAUAUUUAAUGCUUCAUGCAUGCGAUCAAGAUUUGAUGUGACGAAGAAUCUUGAAAAUUUUUACGAAGCCUUAGACGACAGCUAAAGUCGAGGGGUGAAAAGAACUUUUCCUUUUAUAGCCCGGCCUAACUAUUGGGCCGCCGGUGUCAUCAACGUGUGUUGCUUGGAGAUCCAAGCCGUACAGCAUGGCAUGGACUCGUCCGGAGCUUUUUCUCGCAGAACCACCUGGUCCAUGUCCGUAGGCACGUCCAAGUGCUACUACACAGAACGGUUUCAUUUCAUGACAGGAUGAUUCGAUUCGAUGAUACGAAACUAGCCAGAC